RNAcentral lists this ribosomal RNA (292 nucleotides) under uncultured bacterium. Its description in RNAcentral is "partial 16S ribosomal RNA". It matches the Rfam family "Bacterial small subunit ribosomal RNA", at positions 505 to 796 of the family's 1533-position model. The record is from RNAcentral.
GUGCCAGCAGCCGCGGUAAGACGAACCGUGCGAACGUUGUUCGGAAUCACUGGGCUUAAAGGGCGCGUAGGCGGGCAAGCAAGUCCGGGGUGAAAGCCCCCAGCUCAACUGGGGAAGUGCCUUGGAAACUGCUUGUCUAGAGGGAGGUAGGGGCAUGUGGAACUUCGGGUGGAGCGGUGAAAUGCGUUGAUAUCCGAAGGAACGCCGGUGGCGAAGGCGACGUGCUGGAUCUCUUCUGACGCUGAGGCGCGAAAGCUAGGGUAGCGAACGGGAUUAGAUACCCCGGUAGUCC